UACGUAGGGUGCAAGCGUUAAUCGGAAUUACUGGGCGUAAAGCGUGCGCAGGCGGUUCUAUAAGACAGAUGUGAAAUCCCCGGGCUCAACCUGGGAACUGCAUUUGUGACUGUAGAGCUGGAGUGCGGCAGAGGGGGAUGGGAUUCCGCGUGUAGCAGUGAAAUGCGUAGAUAUGCGGAGGAACACCGAUGGCGAAGGCAAUCCCCUGGGCCUGCACUGACGCUCAUGCACGAAAGCGUGGGGAGCAAACAGG
RNAcentral lists this ribosomal RNA (253 nucleotides) under uncultured bacterium. Its description in RNAcentral is "partial 16S ribosomal RNA". It matches the Rfam family "Bacterial small subunit ribosomal RNA", at positions 524 to 776 of the family's 1533-position model. The record is from RNAcentral.